CUAAUACUCCCUCCGUCCAACAAAAAAUGUCUCAACUUUGACUAAAUUUGAAUGCAUCUAUAUACUAAGUUAUAUUUAGAUACAUUUAAAUUUUGACAAACUUGAAACAUCUUUUGGACGGAGGGAGUAGGUU
Brachypodium distachyon (stiff brome) is the source of this 133-nucleotide non-coding RNA. NCBI's taxonomy places the organism in Eukaryota, Viridiplantae, Streptophyta, Magnoliopsida, Poales, Poaceae. The record is from Rfam.